AAUAGGAUGGUGUUCAAAUAACAACUCUAUUUUAAGAAGAAGGAAAAGAAAAUCCUUAUUCGAUUCGUGGCUUCCUCUUUUUGAAAGCCAACCGAACUUCAAGUCUUCCUUGACAUUUUUGUGGAGUUAGCUUCUCUCAAUUUAUUCUCUUUAUUUUUUUUCUCUAUUAUUAUGAUUUUGAUAAGUUAAAAAAAUUUGAUGUAUUUAGUUAAAUAUUUG
Molecule: long non-coding RNA, 219 nt
Filed under: Trifolium pratense (red clover)
Lineage: Eukaryota; Viridiplantae; Streptophyta; Magnoliopsida; Fabales; Fabaceae
Description: long non-coding RNA (TPRA_LNC001164)
Source: RNAcentral